RNAcentral lists this unclassified non-coding RNA (206 nucleotides) under Glomus sp. RNAcentral's name for it is "partial contains 5.8S ribosomal RNA and internal transcribed spacer 2". The stretch from base 1 to 65 matches the Rfam family "5.8S ribosomal RNA", at positions 84 to 154 of the family's 154-position model. The record is from RNAcentral. Lineage: Eukaryota; Fungi; Glomeromycota; Glomeromycetes; Glomerales; Glomeraceae.
GUGAAUCAUCGAAUUUUUGAACGCAAAUUGCACUCUCUUCGGAGGGUAUGCCUGUUUGAGGGUCAGCCUAAAAAAAAAUCGACAUAGUCGCUGUUUCGCGGUGACAUUCGUCGGAAAUUGGGUAAUCUUAAACCUUUGGGUUUUAAGCGGCUUAAAAUUUUCUUAACGAUUCCACAAAGGUUUUUAGGUUUUACUUUUUAUACUUU